CUACAUGAAGCUGGAAUCGCUAGUAAUCGUAGAUCAGCAUGCUACGGUGAAUACGUUCCCGGGUCUUGUACACACCGCCCGUCACACCACGAGAGUUUGUAACACCCGAAGCCGGUGGAGUAACCAUUUAUGGAGCUAGCCGUCGAAGGUGGGACAAAUGAUUGGGGUGAAGUCGUAACAAGGUAGCCGUAUCGGAAGGUGCGGCUGGAUCACCUCCUUUCUAAGGA
This 227-nucleotide ribosomal RNA is filed under the name Staphylococcus cohnii. RNAcentral's name for it is "partial 16S ribosomal RNA". It matches the Rfam family "Bacterial small subunit ribosomal RNA", at positions 1316 to 1533 of the family's 1533-position model. The record is from RNAcentral. Lineage: Bacteria; Bacillati; Bacillota; Bacilli; Caryophanales; Staphylococcaceae.